Long non-coding RNA from Eleginops maclovinus (Patagonian blennie), 137 nucleotides. RefSeq lists it as uncharacterized. The transcript is spliced from 2 exons. NCBI's taxonomy places the organism in Eukaryota, Metazoa, Chordata, Actinopteri, Perciformes, Eleginopidae. The record is from RefSeq and is a predicted model, not a curated record.
GUCCCGGGGAACUCUUUUAUCCGAACACCCUGGGAGAGAGAGACAGGCAGAGGCAAAUGGCGAGAGAGAACGGCCCAGCGUCCGCGCUGCGGAAGUUAUCAAACGAAACCAGUUCUCAAUAAAUACAUUUAAAACUA